Molecule: non-coding RNA, 524 nt
Organism: Saimiri boliviensis boliviensis (Bolivian squirrel monkey)
Lineage: Eukaryota; Metazoa; Chordata; Mammalia; Primates; Cebidae
Source: RefSeq, a predicted model, not a curated record
UAUGCUGUAUACAAUCCAUAACACUUACGAUGACAUUGAAAAUAAAGUCGUUGCCGAUCUAGGAUGUGGUUGUGGAGUACUUAGCAUCGGAAGUGCAAUGUUAGGAGCAGGGUUGUGUGUUGGAUUUGACAUAGAUGAAGAUGCACUGGAAAUAUUUAACAGGAAUGUGGAAGAGUUUGAGUUAACAAAUAUUGACAUGAUUCAAUGUGAUGUGUGCUUAUUAUCUAAUAGAAUGUCUAAGUCUUUUGAUACAGUAAUUAUGAAUCCUCCCUUUGGGACCAAAAAUAAUAAAGGGACAGAUAUGACUUUUCUAAAGACUGCUCUGGAAAUGGCAAGAACAGCAGUAUAUUCUUUACACAAAUCCUCAACUAGAGAAAGCUUCGAUAUGACCUGCCGGCAUCAUACAAGUUUCACAAAAAGAAAUCAGUGGACAUUGAAGUGGACCUAAUUCGGUUUUCCUUUUAAAAGCCCCCACAAACAAAAGUAGUUUAAAACCUAUUUAAAAUGAAUAAAAAAUUGGUUUA